RNAcentral lists this ribosomal RNA (1409 nucleotides) under uncultured Rhizaria. RNAcentral describes it as "SSU rRNA". It matches the Rfam family "Eukaryotic small subunit ribosomal RNA", at positions 384 to 1804 of the family's 1831-position model. The record is from RNAcentral.
CGGAGAGGGCGCAUGAGAAACGGCUACCACUUCUAAGGAAGGCAGCAGGCGCGCAAAUUACCCAAUCCUGACUCAGGGAGGUAGUGACAAGAAAUAACAAUAAACCGGCUUAUGCCGGUUUAAUUGGAAUGAGUACAAUUUAAACAUCUUAACGAGGAACAAUUGGAGGGCAAGUCUGGUGCCAGCAGCCGCGGUAAUUCCAGCUCCAAUAGCGUAUACUAAAGUUGUUGCAGUUAAAAAGCUCGUAGUUGGAUUUCUGCGGGGACGGAGCGGCCGGACGCAACUUGCGUCUCGAGCUAGCGCUUUCCCCACAUCCUGCCGCGAACCGUGCUACCAUUAGCUUGGUGGCGCUGGGGAUCGGCUCGAUUACUUUGAGAAAAAUAGAGUGUUCAAAGCAGGCCACACGCCUUGAAUAAGUUAGCAUGGAAUAAUGAUUAAGGACUUCGGUUCUAUUUUGUUGGUGUUCGGGACUGAAGUAAUGAUUGAUAGGGACAGUUGGGGCGGUCUGUAUUCCAAAGCGAGAGGUGAAAUUCUUAGACCUUCGGAAGACAAACAGCUGCGAAAGCGUUCCGCAAGGAUGUUCCCUUUGAUCAAGAACGAAAGUUGGGGGAUCGAAGACGAUCAGAUACCGUCGUAGUCUCAACUAUAAACUAUACCAGCUAGGGAUCGGCCAACGUUUAACUUUAUCGACUUGGUCGGCACCUUAUGAGAAAUCAAAGCAUCUGGGUUCCGGGGGGAGUAUGAUCGCAAGGCUGAAACUUAAAGGAAUUGACGGAAGGGCACCACCAGGCGUGGAGCCUGUGGCUUAAUUUGACUCAACACGGGAAAACUUACCAGGUCCAGACAUAGGAAGGAUUGACAGAUUGAUAGCUCUUUCUUGAUUCUGUGGGUGGUGGUGCAUGUCCGUUUUUAGUCGGUGAAGUGAUUUGUCUGCUUAAUUGCGUUAACGGACGAGACCCCAGCCUGCUAAAUAGCGCGGCCGAGCUUUGCUCGGUGCGAGCUUCUUAGAGGGACCAUGAUGCGCGAUAGCACAAGGAAGUUUGGGGCAACAACAGGUCUGUGAUGCCCUUAGAUGUUCUGGGCCGCACACGGGCUACACUGGCGCCUGCAACGAGCAUAUCAGCUGGCCCGAGAGGGUCUUGGCUAAUCUUUGGAACCGGCGCCGUGCUUGGGAUUGACCAUUGCAAUUGUUGGUCAUGCAAUGAGGAAUGCCUUGUAAACGCGAGUCAUCAGCUCGCAUUGAAUACGUCCCUGCCCUUUGUACACACCGCCCGUCGCUCCUACCGAUGAAUGUUCCGAUGAAAUUUUCGGAGAGCGCCAGAGAACGGGGCUCUGCCUUGCAGAUCUGGAGGCUCAAAGUCACUUAAAUCUGAACAUUUCGAGGAAGGAGAAGUCGUAACAAGGUAACC